GAUGAACGCUGGCGGCGUGCUUAACACAUGCAAGUCGAACGGAAAGGCCACAGCUUGCUGUGGUACUCGAGUGGCGAACGGGUGAGUAACACGGGGAUGAGCUGCCCUGUACUUCGGGAUAAGCUUGGGAAACUGGGUCUAAUACCGGCUAGGAAUCACAUGUGGGGGGGGGGUUGGAAAGCUUUUGCGGUAUGGGAUGAGCUCGCGGCCUAUCAGCUUGUUGGUGGGGUAAUGGCCUACCAAGGCGUCGACGGGUAGCCGGCCUGAGGGGGUGUACGGCCACAUUGGGCCUGAGGUACGGCCCAGACUCCUACGGUAGGCAGCAGUGGGGAAUAUUGCCCAAUGGGCGCAAGCCUGAUGCAGCGACGCCGCGUGGGGGAUGACGGCCUUCGGGUUGUAAACUCCUUUCGGCAGGGACGAAGCGAAAGUGACGGUACCUGGAGAAGAAGCACCGGCUAACUACGUG
Molecule: ribosomal RNA, 466 nt
Filed under: uncultured bacterium
Lineage: Bacteria
Description: partial 16S ribosomal RNA
Rfam family: Bacterial small subunit ribosomal RNA
Source: RNAcentral